This 73-nucleotide transfer RNA is filed under the name Stegodyphus mimosarum. It matches the Rfam family "tRNA". Rfam says of the family: Transfer RNA (tRNA) molecules are approximately 80 nucleotides in length. Their secondary structure includes four short double-helical elements and three loops (D, anti-codon, and T loops). The record is from Rfam by way of RNAcentral. Lineage: Eukaryota; Metazoa; Arthropoda; Arachnida; Araneae; Eresidae.
GCCUUCGUUGUGUAGUGGUCAGCCCACUCGAUGCGUAAUCGAGAGGUCCGGGGUUCGAUUCCCUGCGAAGGCU